UUCUUCAUGCUACUCUGAACGAGCCCGAUCUCAUCUGAUCUCAGAAGCUAAGCAGAAUCGGGCCUAGUUAGUACUUGGAUGGGAGACCACUUAGGAAGAACAGGUGCUGUAGCAU
RNAcentral lists this ribosomal RNA (115 nucleotides) under Pteropus alecto (black flying fox). The record is from RNAcentral. Lineage: Eukaryota; Metazoa; Chordata; Mammalia; Chiroptera; Pteropodidae.